This 448-nucleotide ribosomal RNA is filed under the name uncultured bacterium. RNAcentral's name for it is "bacterial SSU rRNA". It matches the Rfam family "Bacterial small subunit ribosomal RNA", at positions 355 to 796 of the family's 1533-position model. The record is from RNAcentral.
UGGGGAAUCUUGCGCAAUGGGCGAAAGCCUGACGCAGCGACGCCGCGUGAGUGAUGAAGGCCUUCGGGUUGUAAAGCUCUGUGGGGAGAGAAGAAUAAGUGUUGGCUAAUAUCCAGCAUGAUGACGGUAUCUCCUUAGCAAGCACCGGCUAACUCUGUGCCAGCAGCCGCGGUAAGACAGAGGGUGCAAACGUUGUUCGGAAUUACUGGGCGUAAAGCGUGUGUAGGCGGCUUUGCAAGUCGGAUGUGAAAGCCCCGGGCUCAACCCGGGAAGUGCACUCGAUACUGCAGAGCUAGAGUGUGGGAGAGGUUGGUGGAAUUCUCGGUGUAGAGGUGAAAUUCGUAGAUAUCGAGAGGAACACCGGCGGCGAAGGCGGCCAACUGGACCACGACUGACGCUGAGACACGAAAGCGUGGGGAGCAAACAGGAUUAGAUACCCGCGUAGUCC